AUCUCACGUCCAAAGCGUGACAGGGGCGCUGCCUGGUGCUUGCCAUGGCGAGGCGAGGCGAGCAAAGCAACAGCCAUCGCCCAACUCCAUGCCCUGUAGCUCUCGAUCACCUGCUGCACCUGCACCUGCACCUCCUCUCCCCAUCGUCUACCUCGCUAGCUCUUGCAUCAUGUGUUGGUUGCCUUGGCACCAUGCGACCUCCUCCUCCUCCUCUCUCGCUCCUUCAUCCCCAAUCCAAUCCAUGGCGUUCCUUAUAUAUAAAUCCCACUCUUCUCCACCCCUAGCUAGCUAGCCUAGCUACCACCGCGCCAAGCAUGCAUCAUAAUCAUAUACCAGGAAGCCGCAUCGAUCUGCCUAGCAGCAGCAGCAGCACCAGCAGGCUGCUUCUUCAGUUGUUCCUCUCUUCACUCAGGAAGCUAGUGGAGGACUCCAAAGGGAUCGCAUUGAUCUAGCUCGCUGCUCACCAUCCGCCGCCGCCGGCAUGCCGGCGCCGCGCGCGAGGACAAGAUCAGUGCAAUCCCUUUGGAAUUUUCCACUUGCGCCUCCGCACGCACGCCCUCGGUAUCCGCGCCGCCGCCGUAAAUCUCCUCGAUCGCCGAGCAAGGUACAUACAUACAGUAUAUAUAUGCAGCCAGCCAGCGACCCAACCCGCCAAGAUACUAGACAUUUGGAGGAGGACUAGACAUUGCUCACCGCCGGUAGGGUUCCAGCAGGCCCUCUGACGACGAAUGCAUCCUGGGCGUGAGAGAAAGAUCGAUGUGGCAGUGGGGCUAGCUCUUUAUUAAUUUCUCUUUGCCAGUUAGGGUAAAAGAUGCAAGCAAAGCCCGGACAGGUUGCAUGUAUGAGGAUUGAAUAUGCCUGCGUGCAGCUCCAGAUCACUCGACUACAGCGGCACUGUUUGGUUUAGUAGCAUAGACUUGUAGACAACUUUGACUAUUAAUUAGAGAUAUUAAAUAAAAAAACUAACUUCACAA
Panicum virgatum (switchgrass) is the source of this 974-nucleotide long non-coding RNA. RefSeq lists it as uncharacterized. The record is from RefSeq and is a predicted model, not a curated record. The transcript is spliced from 2 exons. Lineage: Eukaryota; Viridiplantae; Streptophyta; Magnoliopsida; Poales; Poaceae.